AGAGGUGGCAAGCUUUGUUCGGAAUUACUGGGCGUAAAGGGCGCGUAGGCGGCCUUGCAAGUCCUGCGUGAAAUCCCUCGGCUCAACUGAGGAAUUGCACGGGAAACUGUUUGGCUUGAGUUCGGGAUAGGGAAGCGGAAUUCCGGGUGUAGCGGUGAAAUGCGUAGAUACCCGGAGGAACACCGGUGGCGAAGGCGGCUUCCUGGACCGACACUGACGCUGAGGCGCGAAAGCUAGGGGAGCAAACGGGAUUAGAUACCCCGGUAGUCCUGGCCCUAAACGGUGCACGUUUGCUGUAAGGGGAAUCGACCCCUUUUGUGGCGAAGCUAACGCGUUAAACGUGCCGCCUGGGAAGUACGGUCGCAAGAUUA
RNAcentral lists this ribosomal RNA (371 nucleotides) under uncultured bacterium. Its description in RNAcentral is "bacterial SSU rRNA". It matches the Rfam family "Bacterial small subunit ribosomal RNA", at positions 527 to 896 of the family's 1533-position model. The record is from RNAcentral.